UACGUAGGCAGCGAGCGUUGUUCGGAGUUACUGGGCGUAAAGGGUGUGUAGGCGGUUAUUUAAGUUUGGUGUGAAAUCUCCCGGCUCAACCGGGAGGGUGCGCCGAAUACUGAAUGACUUGGAGUGCGGGAGAGGUGAGUGGAAUUCCUGGUGUAGCGGUGAAACGCGUAGAUAUCAGGAGGAACACCGGUGGUGUAGACGGCUCACUGGACCGUAACUGACGCUGAGACACGAAAGCGUGGGUAGCAAACAGG
This 254-nucleotide ribosomal RNA is filed under the name uncultured bacterium. Its description in RNAcentral is "partial 16S ribosomal RNA". It matches the Rfam family "Bacterial small subunit ribosomal RNA", at positions 524 to 776 of the family's 1533-position model. The record is from RNAcentral.